Molecule: ribosomal RNA, 253 nt
Filed under: uncultured bacterium
Lineage: Bacteria
Description: partial 16S ribosomal RNA
Rfam family: Bacterial small subunit ribosomal RNA
Source: RNAcentral
UACGGGGGGGGCAAGCGUUGUUCGGAAUUACUGGGCGUAAAGGGCGCGUAGGCGGUUCGCUAAGUUGAAUGUGAAAACUCUGGGCUUAACCCAGAGCCUGCAUUCAAUACUGGCGGGCUAGAGUUCUGGAGGGGAUAGCGGAAUUCCUGGUGUAGCGGUGAAAUGCGUAGAUAUCAGGAGGAACACCAAUGGCGAAGGCAGCUCGCUGGGACGGUACUGACGCUGAGGCGCGAAAGCGUGGGGAGCAAACAGG